Pseudophryne corroboree (corroboree frog) is the source of this 192-nucleotide long non-coding RNA. RefSeq lists it as uncharacterized. Lineage: Eukaryota; Metazoa; Chordata; Amphibia; Anura; Myobatrachidae. The transcript is spliced from 4 exons. The record is from RefSeq and is a predicted model, not a curated record.
CUAUCAUCAGAUACUAAACAGCAGAGUGACCUUGCUGCUGAAAACUAUAUGGCCUUUGCUGAUUGAUCUGUAGCUGCCUAGUGUUACUUUUUAAUUAUCCAGUAGUCCUGUGUUCCAGGAGCUAUCAUUUGACUCAUUGUGUCUAAUAUUGACCCAGAUGCUCUGAAUUGCCAGUCUUGAUAAAGGUCCUAU